This 166-nucleotide small RNA is filed under the name Hominisplanchenecus faecis. RNAcentral's name for it is "Clostridiales-1 RNA". It matches the Rfam family "Clostridiales-1 RNA". RNAcentral also lists the same sequence under 1 other name. The record is from RNAcentral. Lineage: Bacteria; Bacillati; Bacillota; Clostridia; Lachnospirales; Lachnospiraceae.
GAUGCCAGGGUCAAAAGGUCUAAAUCCACAUGAGCUUGCUCAUAGGUGGAUGAAAGACCUUGGGACCCGCCCCGAUAUGAGCAUAAAAGUGGGAUGAUAAUCCCACGAUAUGCGAAUACUGGGGAGGAUUGUGGGAGUGCAACGCACGGAACAAUCCGUAGGCAUC